Molecule: small nucleolar RNA, 107 nt
Filed under: Capsicum annuum
Lineage: Eukaryota; Viridiplantae; Streptophyta; Magnoliopsida; Solanales; Solanaceae
Description: Plant small nucleolar RNA R71
Rfam family: Plant small nucleolar RNA R71
About the family: R71 is a member of the C/D box family of snoRNAs containing the C (UGAUGA) and D (CUGA) box motifs. Multiple nearly identical copies of this snoRNA have been identified in Arabidopsis, and it is thought to function as a 2'-O-ribose methylation guide for 18S ribosomal RNA.
Source: Rfam by way of RNAcentral
UGAUGAUGGUGAGGGAAAUUUCUAAGCAUGCUCUUAAAUCUUUCCCAAGCUUGGUAAAGAUUUUCUCCUUCUUUUUUCCCAAAACUCAAAAUCUCACUUCUCAAACG